AGCGAACGCUGGCGGCAUGCUUAACACAUGCAAGUCGCACGAACCUUUCGGGGUUAGUGGCGGACGGGUGAGUAACGCGUAGGUAUCUAUCCAUGGGUGGGGGAUAACUCUGGGAAACUGGAGCUAAUACCGCAUGACACCUGAGGGUCAAAGGCGUAAGUCGCCUGUGGAGGAGUCUGCGUUCGAUUAGCUAGUUGGUGGGGUAACUGCCUACCAAGGCGAUGAUCGAUAGCUGGUCUGAGAGGAUGAUCAGCCACACUGGGACUGAGACACGGCCCAG
This 280-nucleotide ribosomal RNA is filed under the name uncultured bacterium. RNAcentral's name for it is "partial 16S ribosomal RNA". It matches the Rfam family "Bacterial small subunit ribosomal RNA", at positions 29 to 334 of the family's 1533-position model. The record is from RNAcentral.